Molecule: ribosomal RNA, 408 nt
Filed under: uncultured bacterium
Lineage: Bacteria
Description: bacterial SSU rRNA
Rfam family: Bacterial small subunit ribosomal RNA
Source: RNAcentral
GAUGAACGCUAGCGGCAGGCUUAACACAUGCAAGUCGAGGGGCAGCGGGAUGUAGCAAUACAUUGCCGGCGACCGGCGCAAGGGUGCGUAACGCGUGAGCAACAUGCCCGUCACAGGAGGAUAAACCAUGGAAACGUGGCCUAAUACUCCAUAGUAUGUUUUGGAGGCAUCUCUGAGACAUUAAAGCUUCGGUGGUGACGGAUUGGCUCGCGUGACAUUAGCUAGAUGGAGAGGUAACGGCUCACCAUGGCGAUGAUGUCUAGGGGAACUGGAGAGGUUAAUCCCCCCGANACUGGUACUGAGACACGGACCAGACUCCUACGGGAGGCAGCAGUGAGGAAUAUUGGUCAAUGGACGCAAGUCUGAACCAGCCAUGCCGCGUGCAGGAAAGACGGCUCGUAUGAGUUG